GAUGAACGCUGGCGGCGUGCCUAAUACAUGCAAGUCGAGCGAACGGACGAGAAGCUUGCUUCUCUAAUGUUAGCGGCGGACGGGUGAGUAACACGUGGAUAACCUACCUAUAAGACUGGGAUAACUGCGGGAAACCGUAGCUAAUACCGGAUAAUAUUUUGAACCGCAUGGUUCAAAGGUGAAAGACGGUCUUGCUGUCACUUAUAGAAGGAUCCGCGCUGCAUUAGCUAGUUGGUAAGGUAAAGGCUUACCAAGGCAACGAUGCAUAGCCGACCGGAGAGGGUGAUCGGCCACACUGGAGCUGGGCCACGGUCCAGACUCCUACGGGAGGCAGCAGUAGGGAACCGUCCGCAAUGGGCGAAAACCUGACGGAGCGACGGCGAGUGAGUGAUGAAGGUGUUCGGAGCGUGAAACUCGGUUAUUAGUGGAGAACAUAUGUGUAAGGAACUGUGCACAUCUUGACGGUACCUACUCAGAAAGCCACGGCUAACUACGUG
Molecule: ribosomal RNA, 497 nt
Filed under: uncultured bacterium
Lineage: Bacteria
Description: partial 16S ribosomal RNA
Rfam family: Bacterial small subunit ribosomal RNA
Source: RNAcentral